AUAAAUGUUAAAAACUUACAUUAGAACAUUUUUAAGUACAUUAUUACUGUCAAUCUUCACCACCAUACUACAACUGUUCAAACUCUAUUCAAAUUCACACAAACCCAGAAAAUACUGAAAAAAUAUGUUUAAAGUAAAAUAUACUGUGUAUGCAAUUUUUUAAAACAGCUUACCAUGUUUUUGGGUAAUUGGCAAGUUGAUCAACUACCCCAUUAAAAUCUACUAUAUGUUCAUUUUAUGGUAUGUUAGUACUUCGGCAAAGAGGAAAGUUCAGAGUAACACAAAAGUUAAUGAUCUACUAAUUCUGAUGUUUCUGAUCUCAUUACUAAGGAAAUGCUUUUUGUGAACCCAAAAAAAAAAAAUUUAAUUCAACAUAGGACUGUAAAGUUCACUUUCCAAAAGUUCACUGCCCUUUUGGAUUUUCAUUUAUGUUGUGGUGUAAAUACUACUUCAGGUUAAUGUUUAUCCUUAAGACAACUCCUCUAUGAGCUUUGACUAUAGCUGCAAAAUGGUUUGUUCUUCGCUGCAUUGUGUUUAGUACAUCAACAGCUUGCACAGCCAUCCACAAACAAGUAAAGAAACCGAGAUGAAGCGGGGGUGGUAUGAAUAAACAUUCAGACAUUUAAACAAAAGAUUUCACCAAUCUGAAACUGUGUUUUAAUGAGUCUCUGGAUUCUCCUUGGUAAUCUAGUGCAGAUUUGAAAAGUCUACAAUAGUGUCUUUUUUUUGUUUGUUUGUUUGAUCGUUUGGGGGAUUGUUUUAUUUUCUAAAUCUAGACCAGGGGCCUGUUUCAGAAAGCGGGUUAUGUGAAAACUGAGUAAGUUAACCCUGAGAUGAGGGAAAUGCUAGAUUAUCCGUUCCAGAAAGAGAGGUAAGUGAAACAGUCACCAUGGUAACUGACUCUGUGAACAUAACCUGCCAGCGAGCAGGUUUUCUUCAACUAACCCUGAGUUUCUCUUCCUUUUUAGCUGAAGCCUGCAGACUGAAGGAGCUGUCAGACAUGGUGUGUCAUUUUCUUAAAGAGUCAGUUGAUACUGAAGCACAAAUAAUCUCCGUUGGAGGGUGAAGAGACCCUCUGUUUGAGUGUUUCCGUUUUUCUGUACAAUCAAUCAUUUAUCUGAACAAUAUUCUCAGCCCUUGUAUGGUUCGUAUGACACAUCGUGGACAUACUCUCAGUUCAGAACAAGUUUUUUGUGUUGCACUUUGGGGUUUUUGCCAAUGGCUCUCUCUCUCUUUCGUAUGGCUUAUGGUUUGUACCUGUUGGGGUCUGCACGAAUAUUAAAUGCGCUGCACACACAUGCACACACACAAAUUAUAAAUGUUGAAUAAGUGGACCACUCGAGACAAAACGUUUCUUUUUUUUUCAUUAAUACUCACACAUUGACCCUGUCAGUAAUUUUCUGCCACGUCAGCUCAUGUUCUUUUGCUGCUGCUACUACUGUAUUGCUUUCUUUCUUAAAUAUAUACUCAUUAUCUGCAUGCAUUAAUUAAUAUUUUUAACUCCUCUGGGGAGAAGUAGGAGGACUGAGCCCUUUGUUUCACCUGUUGCCAUGGUGAAUCACGUUAUCUGUGUACCACUGAUGAAGGCUUGGUACCUCCUCAUGCACGAGCUUCACUCAGGGUUACCUUGACUCAGAGUUGAUUGAACUAACUGUUAUCACCUGUUCUGAAACCCAAAACUCUGAGUUUGACAGCUCAGAGUUAGUCAACCUAGAGUUAAAAUUUUAACUCAG
Scomber scombrus (Atlantic mackerel) is the source of this 1733-nucleotide long non-coding RNA. RefSeq lists it as uncharacterized. The transcript has 3 exons. The record is from RefSeq and is a predicted model, not a curated record. Lineage: Eukaryota; Metazoa; Chordata; Actinopteri; Scombriformes; Scombridae.